Theobroma cacao (cacao) is the source of this 1538-nucleotide non-coding RNA. The record is from RefSeq and is a predicted model, not a curated record. NCBI's taxonomy places the organism in Eukaryota, Viridiplantae, Streptophyta, Magnoliopsida, Malvales, Malvaceae.
UUCCCAGUCAUGGUUCCAACCCAAAACCUGUUUCUUUGCCCUUCAAUUGUUUCCAUAAAGUCUAUUCAUUCCUUAAACUAUCCAGUCUAUUUUUCAAUUGCUUUUGGGUAUAGUUUUUAUUAGCACGAGUAUUAAAUUCUUAUACUACAACUUUCCAUAUUUUAGCUUUAAAUGAAAUUCUUGGUUUUCCACACUUACGAAUCUCAUCCGUACAAACUUGAAGUAAGAUUUUAGUAGUGACCAAAUCCCACUUUGCAUUAUGUUUUGGUUUAUCUGAAAUUUCAAAAUUAAGUUGAGGCAUUUCUUGACUAGCCAUAAACUACAACACGACAUAAAAGCAAUAAAUAUUGCGUCAUCACUCAAACAAUAAGACACCCAAAUUUAUGAUGCAAUCAACAGAAUUUAGAAAAUGAAUGCUGCUAUUCCCUAUAUUGCAAUAAAUUCCAAAAAAUCAAAUUGAAAAGCAAAAAAAAAAAAAAUAGUUGUAGUGUUACUUUUUUUUUUUCAUCCAUCAAUCACUCAUAGUAAAAGAAAUUGAGAAAAGAGGCUAAUAUACAUACAUGGGAUGUCAUCAACUGAUCCAUAUUAAAUUUUCUGAUGAAAUUUGAUUCAACUUGCACCUAAUUUGGUUUAGUUAAAGUUAAUCUCGAUAGUUCAAUGAUCAAAGAUGCCAGGCAUUUUCUCUAAAUGAACCUAUAAUCCCUGGGGGCGUUCUCAAGAGGCAGAACAUUCAAGUUUAUUAGGAGAGUUAAUGUUACUGAAAAGGUUUUAUGUAGUACCUUUUUAUUAUUAGUUAACAUACAUCUUUCAUUGCAUGAAAUAUAAAUUUGUGUUUUGAUAGCAUGUUGGUUGGUUUCUCUUCCUUUUGAAAAAUUUUAAUUUUAAAACAAUAUGCCAGCUUUCUGGAAUGUUAUAGCUUUGUUUCUAUCGGUUUUAAGUCCUUUAUGUAUUAGUGUUCAUUUGUUUACUUUUUUUUAGGUUUAAACUAAUAGAAAUUUUUUGGGCAGAUAUUGUGUAUGAAGCAGGAUAAGUAUGUACAUGACUUGAGGGAGCAUUCUAAGGAGAUAUAUGCCAUCAGAUGGAGUCCUACUGGGCAUGGGACAAACGAUCCUAACUAGCAGUUAAUUCUUGCAAGGUAAAAAUGAGGUGUUGACACAACAGAUAUACUUACCUAUUUUUGCUAGUGUCAUUAUAUUUCACGUCUGCCACAGGAAAUUGUUUUAACUUGUGUCUUCUGCAUCACAAUUUGUGUACACAUCAUUCUUAUGUUUAUUAUUUAAAGCCAGAUGAUUGACCAACUUGCCUUGCACUUAUCAAGAUUUGGUGUAGAGAUAUCAGGAAUUUAAAAACGCAUUGAGGGAAGAUAGUAUUGAUUACUCAAUUUUCACAGCAAACAUCAAAAGGGAGCACCUAAAUCCCAGGAGAGGAGGGAAAGCAAUUCACAUGACUGGUGGAGAUGAAGAUGAUGAUUAUGAUGUUGAAGAGUGGAAAGGUGGCGUACGGAGACUGAGUAAUAGUGGAAGGAAAAGUUACAGCGG